This 500-nucleotide ribosomal RNA is filed under the name uncultured bacterium. Its description in RNAcentral is "partial 16S ribosomal RNA". It matches the Rfam family "Bacterial small subunit ribosomal RNA", at positions 29 to 523 of the family's 1533-position model. The record is from RNAcentral.
AUUGAACGCUGGCGGCAUGCGUAACACAUGCAAGUCGAACGGUUUCUGGUGCUUGCACCGGAGAUAGUGGCGGACGGGUGAGUAAUACGUAGGAAUCUGUCUUAGAGAGGGGGACAACCUGAGGAAACUUAGGCUAAAACCGCAUAAACUCGGAAGAGAAAAGCAGGGGACCGGAAACGGCAUUGUGCUCUAAGGUGAGCCUACGUCGGAUUAGCGAGUUGGUGGGGUAAAGGCCUACCAAGGCGAUGAUCUGUAGCUGGUCUGAGAGGACGGACAGCCACACUGGGACUGAGACACGGCCCAGACUCCUACGGGAGGCAGCAGUGGGGAAUAUUGGACAAUGGGGGGAACCCUGAUCCAGCGAUGCCGCGUGUGUGAAGAAGGCCUGCGGGUUGUAAAGCACUUUCAGUUGGAAAGAGAAGCGAGAUGAGAAUAUUGUUUCGUGGAGACGUUACUAACAGAAGAAGCACCGGCUAACCCUGUGCCAGCAGCCGCCGUAA